CUACGUGCCAGCAGCCGCGGUAAUACGGAAGGUCCGGGCGUUAUCCGGAUUUAUUGGGUUUAAAGGGAGCGUAGGCCGCGCCUUAAGCGUGUUGUGAAAUCCGGUUGCUCAACAUCCGGCUUGCAGCGCGAACUGGGGCGCUUGAGUGCGCUGAAAGUAGGCGGAAUUCGUGGUGUAGCGGUGAAAUGCUUAGAUAUCACGAGGAACUCCGAUUGCGAAGGCAGCCUACUGUAGCGCUACUGACGCUGAUGCUCGAAAGCGUGGGUAUCGAACAGGAUUAGAUACCCUGGUAGUCCACGCGGUAAACGAUGGAUGCUCGUUGUCGGCCCUUUGGGUCGGUGACCAAGCGAAAGCGUUAAGCAUCCCACCUGGGGAGUACGCCGGCAACGGUGAAACUCAAAGGAAUUGACGGGGGCCCGCACAAGCGGAGGAACAUGUGGUUUAAUUCGAUGAUACGCGAGGAACCUUACCCGGGCUUGA
RNAcentral lists this ribosomal RNA (480 nucleotides) under uncultured bacterium. Its description in RNAcentral is "bacterial SSU rRNA". It matches the Rfam family "Bacterial small subunit ribosomal RNA", at positions 501 to 984 of the family's 1533-position model. The record is from RNAcentral.